This 94-nucleotide small nuclear RNA is filed under the name Prunus dulcis (almond). Its description in RNAcentral is "sRNA ncRNA". The record is from RNAcentral. Lineage: Eukaryota; Viridiplantae; Streptophyta; Magnoliopsida; Rosales; Rosaceae.
GUUUUUUUCUAAAAUAUUUCUGCUAUUGUGUUAUAUAUAGCAUGGUCCCUGUGCAUUGAUGACACGCAUAAAUCGAGAUAGGAUCCAAAUUUAA